This 346-nucleotide RNase P RNA is filed under the name Clostridiales bacterium. Its description in RNAcentral is "RNase P RNA component class A". It matches the Rfam family "Bacterial RNase P class A". Rfam says of the family: Ribonuclease P (RNase P) is a ubiquitous endoribonuclease, found in archaea, bacteria and eukarya as well as chloroplasts and mitochondria. Lineage: Bacteria; Bacillati; Bacillota; Clostridia; Eubacteriales. The record is from RNAcentral.
CAAGUCAUUCGUGUGAUCGCGGCAACGCAUGAAAAGGCGUUGAUGAGGAAAGUCCGAGCAUCACAGGGCAGGACGCCGGAGAAAUCCCGGUGAAGGCGACUUUAAGGAAAGUGCAACAGAAAUAUACCGCCGUAAGGUAAGGUUGAAAAGGCGUGGUAAGAGCACACCGUGUCUGCGGUAACGCGGAUAGCCAUGUAAACCCCGUCCGAUGCAAGAUUGACGUAAAGGUACAUUGGGCUGCCCGUCCGUAUUUUUACAAUAAAACAUCGCUUGAGCCGUGCGGAGACGUACGGUCUAGAUAAAUGAUCACACUCGACAGAACUCGGCUUACAGAUUGACUUGGGCG